UAAACGGCUCUUUUAAGAGCCACCCACGUUCUCAAUGAAAGAGCUG
Regulatory RNA element from Loxodonta africana (African savanna elephant), 46 nucleotides. It matches the Rfam family "Histone 3' UTR stem-loop". Rfam says of the family: The mRNAs of metazoan histone genes lack a poly-A tail. 3' end processing occurs at a site between a highly conserved stem-loop (modelled by this family) and a purine rich region around 20 nts downstream (the histone downstream element, or HDE). NCBI's taxonomy places the organism in Eukaryota, Metazoa, Chordata, Mammalia, Proboscidea, Elephantidae. The record is from Rfam.